AAAACGUACUGAGCUCGACUAAACUGUAGACUAUUUUGAAUAAGCUAAUCAAUUUUGCAAAAAUUUUGAUUUUAUUAAUCAAUCUUUCAAUUUAUUUAGUUUAAGCCAGUUUACGGUGCUUUGAUCAUAAAAUUUGAAUGUAUCAUUUAUCUUUACAGAUUUAGUUAGUAUAUUUUAUAUAAUUAACACAAGUAUAAAUUUAUUAAGGUAAUUAAUUAGUUUAAAUUUUGAAGCAGAAAUAUUGCCGACCGAUUCAAAUUAAACACGUUAAAAUGUUUGGAUCGUAAAACUAAAAUUUUGAAGGGUUAGAUUGCAGAUUCAAAAUAAUUCAUUUGUUUAGAUAUGGUCCCUGCAUUUUUAUUUUUUAUUUUUAACUUUUUUUUUUUGCACUAUUUAAAGUGCGUGAAAUCACCUGGGGGUAGGGAUGCAAAUGGAUCCGGGUUGGUGGAGCUCCGCCCCGAUCCGCCCCGAAUGGGGUGGUAAGUGGGAACAAAAAAUAUAAAAAAAUAUAAUCCGUCCCGAAUCCGCCCCGAUCCGCAAAGUAAAUGGAGCGGGAGGUGGGAGACUCUUUUCUUCCUUCAAUCCGUCCCGAUCCGUCAAAAAUCCGGCUCCCGCCCCGAUCCGCCCCGAAUGGAGCGGUAAGUGAGAGUCAAAAAUAAAAUGAAAAGUAACCCGUCCCGAAUCUGCCCCGCCCCGAUAAGAAAUGGAGCGGGAGGUGGGGGAACUCUCCCGCCCCGAAUCCGCCCCGUUUGCAUCCCUACCU
RNAcentral lists this long non-coding RNA (763 nucleotides) under Ananas comosus (pineapple). RNAcentral describes it as "long non-coding RNA (ACOM_LNC025184)". Lineage: Eukaryota; Viridiplantae; Streptophyta; Magnoliopsida; Poales; Bromeliaceae. The record is from RNAcentral.